This 127-nucleotide non-coding RNA is filed under the name uncultured Chaetoceros. Lineage: Eukaryota; Bacillariophyta; Thalassiosirophyceae; Chaetocerotales; Chaetocerotaceae. The record is from RNAcentral.
CGGGAUCUGUUACGACAUUCGUUUUCCGGAGUAUGCCCUGCUCCUCACGAAGGAACAUCAGUGUAACCUCAUCGUAUACCCCGGUGCAUUUAAUAUGACAACUGGACCAGCGCAUUGGGAGCUGUUG